GACAAACGCUGGCGGCAUGCCUAACACAUGCAAGUCGAACGGACAGAACAGGGAAGCUUUUCGGAGUGGAACUGGAAAGUUAGUGGCGGAUGGGUGAGUAACGCGUGGACAACCUACCUUGUAAAGGGGAAUAACCUCGAGAAAUCGAAGCUAAUACCCCAUAAUAACCUUGCUUCGCAUGAAGUAAGGAGGAAAGGCGGCCUUAGCGCUGUCGAUACAAGAUGGGUCCGCGUCUGAUUAGCUAGUUGGUGAGGUAAAGGCUCACCAAGGCGACGAUCAGUAGCCGGCCUGAGAGGGUGAACGGCCACAUUGGGACUGAGACACGGCCCAAACUCCUACGGGAGGCAGCAGUGGGGAAUCUUCCGAAAUGGGCGAAAGCCUGACGGAGCAAUGCCGCGUGAGUGCAGAAGGCCUUCGGGUUGUAAAACUCUGUCCUUAUCGAAGAGAGAGUGUUGUAGUAACUGACAAUACUAGGACGGUAGAUGAGGAGGAAGCCCCGGCUAACUAUGUG
This 511-nucleotide ribosomal RNA is filed under the name uncultured bacterium. RNAcentral's name for it is "partial 16S ribosomal RNA". It matches the Rfam family "Bacterial small subunit ribosomal RNA", at positions 28 to 507 of the family's 1533-position model. The record is from RNAcentral.